This 63-nucleotide transfer RNA is filed under the name Pseudopanurgus rugosus. RNAcentral's name for it is "tRNA-Leu". Lineage: Eukaryota; Metazoa; Arthropoda; Insecta; Hymenoptera; Andrenidae. The record is from RNAcentral.
UAUGGCAGAUUAGUGCAAUGGAUUUAAAUUCCAUAUAUAAAAUUUUAUAAAUUUUUAUUAAAA